GAUGAACGCUAGCGGCAGGCCUAACACAUGCAAGUCGAGGGGUAACAGGGAGCUUGCUCCGCUGACGACCGGCGCACGGGUGCGCAACGCGUAUACAACCUACCCCUGGCUGGGGAAUAGCCCAGAGAAAUUUGGAUUAAUGCCCCAUGUGGGCCCCAUCCGGCAUCGGGAGGGGCCCAAAGGUUACGGCCGGGGAUGGGUAUGCGUCCCAUUAGCUGGUUGGUGCGGUAACGGCGCACCAAGGCGACGAUGGGUAGGGGUCCUGAGAGGGAGAUCCCCCACACUGGUACUGAGACGCGGACCAGACUCCUACGGGAGGCAGCAGUGAGGAAUAUUGGACAAUGGGCGGAAGCCUGAUCCAGCCAUGCCGCGUGCAGGAAGACGGUCCUAUGGAUUGUAAACUGCUUUUGUACGGGAAGAACAGGGGCCACGUGUGGCCCUCUGACGGUACCGUAAGAAUAAGGAUCGGCUAACUCCGUGCCAGCAGCCGCGGUAAUACGGAGGAUCCGAGCGUUAUCCGGAAUCAUUGGGUUUAAAGGGUCCGUAGGCGGGCCGUUAAGUCAGGGGUGAAAGUCUGCAGCUCAACUGUAGAACUGCCCUUGAUACUGGCGGCCUUGAGUUGCGGUGAAGUGGCCCGGAAUAUUUAGUGUAGCGGUGAAAUGCAUAGAUAUUACAUAGAACCCCGAUUGCGAAGGCAGGCCACUAACCGCACACUGACGCUGAUGGACGAAAGCGUGGGGAGCGAACAGGAUUAGAUACCCUGGUAGUCCACGCCGUAAACGAUGGAUACUAGCUGUCCGUCCGCCCCAGGCGGAUGGGCGGCCAAGCGAAAGUGAUAAGUAUCCCACCUGGGGAGUACGUCCGCAAGGAUGAAACUCAAAGGAAUUGACGGGGGCCCGCACAAGCGGUGGAGCAUGUGGUUUAAUUCGAUGAUACGCGAGGAACCUUACCAGGGCUUGAAUGGGGGGCGACAGGCGCAGAGAUGUGCCCUUCUUCGGACGCCCUUCAAGGUGCUGCAUGGUUGUCGUCAGCUCGUGCCGUGAGGUGUCAGGUUAAGUCCUAUAACGAGCGCAACCCCUGUGGCCAGUUGCCAGCGGGCAAUGCCGGGAACUCUGGCCAGACUGCCGGUGCAAACCGCGAGGAAGGUGGGGAUGACGUCAAAUCAUCACGGCCCUUACGCCCUGGGCCACACACGUGCUACAAUGGCCGGUACAGAGAGCGGCCACUGGGCGACCAGGCGCGAAUCUAUAAAACCGGUCACAGUUCGGAUCGGAGUCUGCAACCCGACUCCGUGAAGCUGGAAUCGCUAGUAAUCGGAUAUCAGCCAUGAUUCGGUGAAUACGUUCCCGGGCCUUGUACACACCGCCCGUCAAGCCAUGGAAGCCGGGAGUGCCUGAAGUCCGUCACCGCAAGGAGCGGCCUAGGGCAAGAUCGGUAACUAGGGC
This 1445-nucleotide ribosomal RNA is filed under the name uncultured bacterium. Its description in RNAcentral is "16S ribosomal RNA". It matches the Rfam family "Bacterial small subunit ribosomal RNA". The record is from RNAcentral.